This 404-nucleotide ribosomal RNA is filed under the name Bacillota bacterium. RNAcentral describes it as "Firmicutes bacterium partial 16S ribosomal RNA". It matches the Rfam family "Bacterial small subunit ribosomal RNA", at positions 355 to 776 of the family's 1533-position model. The record is from RNAcentral. Lineage: Bacteria; Bacillati; Bacillota.
UGGGGAAUAUUGGACAAUGGGCGCAAGCCUGAUCCAGCAAUGCCGCGUGAGUGAGGAAGGCCUUAGGGUUGUAAAGCUCUUUCACCCGCGACGAUGAUGACGGUAGCGGGAGAAGAAGCCCCGGCUAACUUCGUGCCAGCAGCCGCGGUAAUACGAAGGGGGCGAGCGUUGUUCGGAUUUACUGGGCGUAAAGGGCGCGCAGGCGGCCACAUUUGUCAGGCGUGAAAGCCCCGGGCUUAACCUGGGAGGUGCGUUUGAGACGGUGUGGCUAGAGUUCGGGAGAGGAGCGUGGAAUUCCCAGUGUAGAGGUGAAAUUCGUAGAUAUUGGGAAGAACACCGGUGGCGAAGGCGGCGCUCUGGACCGAGACUGACGCUGAGGCGCGAAAGCGUGGGGAGCAAACAGG